AAAAACAUUUCUUAUAAAAUUACUAUAAGUAAAUCUGCUCCAUGAUCAUAAAUAGCCGCAGAAUAUUAACUGUGCUAAGGUAGCAUAAUCAUUUACCUUUUAAUUAAAGGUUUGUAUGAAUGACUUUACAAUUAUAUUAUUUUUUUAUCUAUAAUUAUCGAACUUAAAUUAAAAAUAAAAAUGUUUUUAUACAAAAAAAAGACGAUAAGACCCUAUUGAACUUUACUUAAGUUUAGCUGGGGCAGCUAAUUAAUUAUAAUUUUAAUAACUCACUCUUAAAAGAUUUCUAAAAAUCAUUAUUUUUAACAAGUUACCAUAGGGAUAACAGCGUAAUAUAAUUUUAAAGUUCAUAUUGAAAAUCAAGCUUACGACCUCGACGUUGAAUU
RNAcentral lists this ribosomal RNA (386 nucleotides) under Collinsia plumosa. Its description in RNAcentral is "partial 16S ribosomal RNA". It matches the Rfam family "Bacterial large subunit ribosomal RNA", at positions 1809 to 2538 of the family's 2925-position model. The record is from RNAcentral. Lineage: Eukaryota; Metazoa; Arthropoda; Arachnida; Araneae; Linyphiidae.